GGAGUUUGGACCGUGUCUCAGUUCCAAUGUGGCUGAUCAUCCGCUAAAACCAGCUAGAGAUCGUCGCCUUGGUGGGCCCUUACCCCGCCAACCAGCUGAUGGGCCGCGGGCCGAUCCCCCGGCGGAGCCUAGGCUCCUUUCCCGGCGCGGCUCCAUGCCGUGCCGCCGUAUCCGGUAUUACCCUGUGUUUCCACAGGCUAUCCCCGUCCGGGGGGUACGUAACCCACGUGUUACUCACCAGUCCGCCGCUCUGGGACAGUGCAAGCACUGUCUUGCCGCUCGACUUGCAUGCUUAAGACGCGCCGCCAGCGUUCGUU
Molecule: ribosomal RNA, 317 nt
Filed under: uncultured Treponema sp.
Lineage: Bacteria; Pseudomonadati; Spirochaetota; Spirochaetia; Treponematales; Treponemataceae
Description: partial 16S ribosomal RNA
Source: RNAcentral